CAGCCGCCGCGGUAAUACCGGCGGCCCGAGUGGCGGUCACUAUUAUUGGGCUUAAAGCGUCCGUAGCCGGGGUGGGAAGUCCUCCGGGAAAUCUGGCCGCUUAACGGUCAGAAUGCCGGAGGAUACUCCCAGCCUAGGGAGCGGGAGAGGCCGAGGGUAUUCCCGGAGUAGGGGUGAAAUCCUAUAAUCCCGGGAGGACCACCUGUGGCGAAGGCGCUCGGCUGGGACGCGUCCGACGGUGAGGGACGAAGGCCAGGGGAGCAAACCGGAUUAGAUACCCGGGUAGUCCUGGCUGUAAACGAUGCGGACUUUGUGUCGGACAAGCUAUGAGCUUGUCCGGUGCCGGAGGGAAACCGUUAAGUCCGCCGCCUGGGGAGUACGGCCGCAAGGCUGAAACUUAAAGGAAUUGGCGGG
Molecule: ribosomal RNA, 414 nt
Filed under: uncultured microorganism
Description: bacterial SSU rRNA
Rfam family: Archaeal small subunit ribosomal RNA
Source: RNAcentral